Astatotilapia calliptera (eastern happy) is the source of this 1871-nucleotide long non-coding RNA. The record is from Ensembl. Lineage: Eukaryota; Metazoa; Chordata; Actinopteri; Cichliformes; Cichlidae.
UGAGAAUUUGAUUUCCUGCUUUAUUUCAAUCCAAAUGUUUUAACUUUAUGUUGAAUGUAUUCCAAGAGCUUCAUCACAUUUUUAAAAAACACAAAACCCACCAAAUUUGAAAUAGCAAAAUGUCCCCAGAACAGCAGUUGUCUGUGUGUGGAUUACUCGGUGCGAGAGUGCAUGUGGAAGGACGUGAUCACAGUGAACACCGAUACAAGUCACAAGUCUAUUUAUAGAAAACAUAACUCUCAUCGCUACUAAUUUGUUCUACAAAGUUGUGUUUGCCACCGAUUCACAGCGAGGCAGACGAUGUGCAUCUCAAAGCACUAAAACUAUACCAAAAACUCACAAGUGCAGAGAAAAGCUGAACACUUACACCACUGUAUAAACUCAAACACACAGAGACAUUCAGUGCAGGUACAUUCACAUUGGGAACAGCGGUUUCUGCAGAGCGUGUUGACUUCUGACUGUGAGCUUGAUUGGUCCCUAAAUCUUUAGUAUUUAGUUACUACAGAGUCCCACAUUUUAAAUAAAAUGUAAAGAAAACAGAGGAGCUUUGCGAGUGGACACAAAGGAGUGAUAUAUGCUUUACAUUCAAUGUAGGGCUUCAGCCAGCACAAAGCUGCUGAGAUCUGAACACAAACUGCUGCUUACACAAGAAAGCAAAAAGGCACAGCAGCAGCAGCAGCAGGAUGUAAGACAGAAAUAAAAUAAGACACUGUUAGUACGGAGGACUGAAGCUGUCAAAAUUCAUGUACAACAAGGCAAUGAAUAAAGAUCAAAUUAUAAAGAUUAAAAAAGUAAAAAGUUGUACAACUCAAUUAAUGAAAAAAAGAGCGACAUAUUUGUCACCAUAUUGUUUCCCAUAAUAUCAAUUAUAUAGUAUUUAUUUAUUUCCAUUAAAUUUUUUCCUUCCAUUUAUCUCCACAAACGUGUUUCUUCAUUUCAUCUUUAUUUAGCUAAAACUGAUUUUUUUCUUCAUAAAAAUGAUGGCACUGUCAUGCAGAUAAAUUUCCUUUCUACCUCCAAACGCAUAACUUAACUACAAACUAAUAACAAUGGAAGAUUAAAUCACAAGUUAAAAAAAAAAAGAAAAAAAAAAUCAAUGUUAUAAAAUGUGCCAUAAAUUAAGUAAUACUUACGUUAAUUUUUACUUAUUAAUUUUAGCGCAUUUUAUAUCUUAUUUGUUUAUGAAGUUAUUAUUUCAGCAUUUUUGGUCCUUCAUAAUUUUCCAGAGAGAAAGGUAUGACAUGAAAUACAAACUCUCAGAGCUAGCUUCUUAUAUGCUUGAAGUUGAUUUAUUUUAGUUACUGAAUAAAACAUAUUCAAGUUAGAGUGACAUAGUGACUACAGGCUUAAAGUAGACUCUCUCUGCUUUAAUUCGAGGGGCUGAAUAAAAGUAAUCUCCAAGCUAUUGAGGAAUUACAGCCAAUUUUAGACACAUUACCCCAUUUCGAACUUGAAUAUGUUUUGGCCAGCAGCCAAAAUAAUGUUUGACAACAUGUUUCCCUUUUUUUUGUUAAGUAAUCUUGGAGCACAACACCCAUAUAUUUAUCACACAAAAAACAUUUUAACUGAUUAAACUGAUUUAAGGUCAAACGAGUGUGAGUGAAACUGGCUUAAAAAUGUAAAUUUGGCAACAAAAAUUGAACAAAAAGGCAACAAAAAGUCAGGCCUACAUGUUAUAACAGCACUCAAACACACACACAAAACUGUUUUCAGCAAUGAUAACAGUUUGAAGUAAUUGUGGCAACAGAUUUUUUCUCUAUGACUCUUUCCAUUCAAAAGCUUCAACAUAUCAGAUGCUCUCUCUUCUCAUUAAAACAAAAGUCUUAUUUCUGUCAUAUUUCUUGUAAAAGGUCUCACUUCAUUCAUAUUUU